This 496-nucleotide ribosomal RNA is filed under the name uncultured bacterium. RNAcentral describes it as "bacterial SSU rRNA". It matches the Rfam family "Bacterial small subunit ribosomal RNA", at positions 29 to 509 of the family's 1533-position model. The record is from RNAcentral.
AACGAACGCUGGCGGCGCGUCUUAAGCAUGCAAGUCGAACGGCAAGGCAGGUGCUUGCACCUGCCCUAGAGUGGCGGACUGGUGAGUAACACGUGGGUGACAUACCUUUUAGUUGGGGAUAGCUAUUAGAAAUAGUAGAUAAUACCGAAUGCGACCAUAACAGUUUGAGUGUUAUGAGGAAAGGAGCUAAGGCUUCGCUAAAAGAUUGGCCCGCGGCCCAUUAGCUAGUUGGUGAGGUAAAGGCCCACCAAGGCGAUGAUGGGUAUCCGGCCUGAGAGGGUGAACGGACACAUUGGGACUGAGAUACGGCCCAGACUCCUACGGGAGGCAGCAGCUAAGAAUAUUCCGCAAUGGACGAAAGUCUGACGGAGCGACGCCGCGUGGAUGAAGAAGGUCGAAAGAUUGUAAAAUCCUUUUGAAUAUGAAGAAUAAGUGUUGUAGGGAAUGAUAACACGAUGACCGUAGUAUUUGAAUAAGCAACGGCUAAUUACGUGCC